Molecule: long non-coding RNA, 2162 nt
Filed under: Stegodyphus dumicola
Lineage: Eukaryota; Metazoa; Arthropoda; Arachnida; Araneae; Eresidae
Description: uncharacterized LOC118180159
Source: RNAcentral
UUCCAAAGCUUUUAAUAAAAUACAUAUCAUUUUGCUUUCUUUUUAAUGUCUUACCGUAAUGACGGUCGUACAACUGAAAGUGCUACUAUAAAUUAACUAAAUUAUUAUUUAUUUAGAAACAGUUUUAAAGCAAGAUAAGGAAGGACCUGCAGUUCUUCUUUUUUAACGUAUAAUUUAAGUUCUAAAGUUAUACUCGAAAGUGGGAUCAAAACCAAAAAUGCUAUUCAAAUUAACCGGAUGCUUAAAAACAUCCGUGAAAAGUUUUAGAAAUUCCCGCCUAAUACCGGCUAACAACUUCUAAAACUCAAGUCAGCUGUCCCACUUUAGCACGUGACAGGGAUACUAGUGACGUCAGUGAUCUUUACCAAACAUACGGGACUUCCUAAUGGGUAUCGAAGUCGUCUGCACUGUCAAAAUGUGACCGUUUGAGAUGAUUUUUGAACUAUUUAUGAAUAUUUCUGAAUAAAUGCUUGAAUUAUGUGAUUUUAGGGAUAGUAAAUGGAUAUUUUGCGACGUAUUCUAGAGCUGUCAAGCUGAAAUAAGCAUAAAAAUUCAUAUUUUCUUUCGCUUUAAGCCUAAAAGGAAAGCGGUUUAUCAGUUCUGCCCACUUAUGUUUAUUCCGUCGCUCAACCAACUGUUGUGUUAACUAGUGAAAAAAGGAUUUUUCGUUAUUCUCAAAGUGGUAUGUUGCCAACGUUUAAUUCUAAAACUAUGAAAAUAUGCAUUGAUACUUUGAUAGUAAAUGUGCAAAAAAACAAAUGUGUGUGUUCUGUGUUGGAAAAAUCGUUACAUCAGUAUUAAAUAUUGGAAGUAUCUUCACUUGGAAUAUUUAAUUUUUCGUCCUGUUGAAAGUUUUUAAAAUCUAAACAAGUGUAGAGGGAAGAAGAUUGUUUCAAGAAAUAAGUGAUGGUGGUUGUGGAUUUAUUGGCGCAUAAUCUGAAAGGUUAUGAUGGGCCAGUUCAAGAAAUAAGACAAAUAAUCACUAAACAUGGAAUACUAAACUCUUGCCGAAAGAGCCAGAAACUCAGAAAUGUGGGUGUUAGUGCCGCUACGAGUUAAUUUUGGUAACUCACAUCCACUGAAAUUUCAGCAAACGCUUAGUGAACGCUUCUGUUGGGUAUCGCCAGGUCUUAUCAAAGUUUUCAAUUAAAAUACUUAAGCGAUUUUAGUUUAAAAUUCGAAUGACAGAAAAUGGGCUAAAUUUGGAGACAUCGAAUGUGUUUAAUAGAUCCAUGGAUUCGAGAUCUGGAAUAUUCCAUACCUAUUAAUAAUAGAGACUUUAUGUACUAUUUGAACGUAAGAGUUUCGUAAGCGAUUCUUUUUCGAAUAUCCGAUAUUAUUUUCUAGUUCGUUUAACUUUCGUAUUUUUCAAGUUUCCCAGUUAGCUAGAAUUUCUGAUAAAAAUGUUUUACGUUUUCAUGUGUAUUCAAAAGCUGAUUUACUUACCGUAAAUAUUAAAGUUUAUGAAAUAACCAUAAAAGGUGUUGAUUUUAAUCACUGCCACAGCACGUGCCAAUUACGAAAAGCUAGGACUUUGCUUUCCAGUUAUGCUAUUGAUUCGUGAUCGAUGUUACUAAUUAAAAUUUAGUUUCAUAGCCAUAAUCGGUGCAUAGUGAGUAUGGGUUUGUUUGAAUUAAACCAAAUUAAAAUUAAAAGUUUAUAUUUAAUUGACCAUGGCAAGGCACACAAAGGGUAUAUGUGCAAGGGAGGGUUGCCUUCGUGAAUAGCUUUCUAAAGAAAACAGGCUUACAUUCACAUUAUACAGAGAGAAAAAUCCAGAAAACAAGCAUGCAGGCAUCCUCUUCGCCUUGAUUCUAGCCCGGGUGGAACUGCCUGUCUGCCGGGUAUAUCUUAUACUGCCGGAUUGUAUUGUAUGUAUUGCGGGAUCGAAUAGCUUGUAUUAUCUGCUCCAACAACAGUAGAGUCGAAAUUAAUGGGAUCCUAAUUAAACAGGACUUAUUACAUAUCUAGUAAAAUGAAAUUUUAAUUUGGAAUUACUUAUUUGCAGUAUGUAUGUGUAUUUGGUAGUUAAUUUCUGAGUGUGAAGUCUUGACGAUUCUGUACACAAUCUGAAAUACAGGCUGUUAGAAACGCCUCUAUGAUCAUAUAAUAAAAUACCAUAAAAUUAUCUGUUAGAUAUUAAUAAAUUACUCCGAAUUUAA